UAGUCCACACCGUAAACGAUGAAUGCCAGUCGUCGGGUAGUAUACUAUUCGGUGACACACCUAACGGAUUAAGCAUUCCGCCUGGGGAGUACGGUCGCAAGAUUAAAACUCAAAGGAAUUGUCGGGGGCCCGCACAAGCGGUGGAGCAUGUGGUUUAAUUCGACGCAACGCGCAGAACCUUACCAACCCUUGACAUCCUGUGCUAACCCGAGAGAUCGGGCGUUCCCUUCGGGGACGCAGCGACAGGUGCUGCAUGGCUGUCGUCAGCUCGUGUCGUGAGAUGUUCGGUUAAGUCCGGCAACGAGCGCAACCCUUAUCCUUAGUUGCCAGCACGUAAUGGUGGGGGACUCUAGGGAGACUGCCGGUGACAAACCGGAGGAAGGUAAGGAUGACGUCAAGUCAGCAUGCCCCUUACGCUCUGGGCUACACACGUGCUACAAUGGUCGUGACAAAGAGUUGCUAGUCUGCGAAGGCAAGCCAAUCUCAUAAACGCGGCCUUAGUUCGGAUUGC
This 511-nucleotide ribosomal RNA is filed under the name uncultured bacterium. Its description in RNAcentral is "bacterial SSU rRNA". It matches the Rfam family "Bacterial small subunit ribosomal RNA", at positions 791 to 1301 of the family's 1533-position model. The record is from RNAcentral.